RNAcentral lists this ribosomal RNA (497 nucleotides) under uncultured bacterium. Its description in RNAcentral is "partial 16S ribosomal RNA". It matches the Rfam family "Bacterial small subunit ribosomal RNA", at positions 28 to 507 of the family's 1533-position model. The record is from RNAcentral.
GAUGAACGCUGGAGGCGUGCCUAAUACAUGCAAGUCGAGCGAACGGACGAGAAGCUUGCUUUUCUGAUGUUAGCGGCGGACGGGUGAGUAACACGUGGAUAACCUACCUAUAAGACUGGGAUAACUUCGGGAAACCGGAGCUAAUACCGGAUAAUAUUUUGAACCGCAUGGUUCAAAAGUGAAAGACGGUCUUGCUGUCACUUAUAGAUGGAUCCGCGCUGCAUUAGCUAGUUGGUAAGGUAACGGCUUACCAAGGCAACGAUGCAUAGCCGACCUGAGAGGGUGAUCGGCCACACUGGAACUGAGACACGGUCCAGACUCCUACGGGAGGCAGCAGUAGGGAAUCUUCCGCAAAGGGCGAAAGCCUGACGGAGCAACGCCGCGUGAGUGAUGAAGGUCUUCGGAUCGUAAAACUCUGUUAUUAGGGAAGAACAUAUGUGUAAGUAACUGUGCACAUCUUGACGGUACCUAAUCAGAAAGCCACGGCUAACUACGUG